Molecule: ribosomal RNA, 1366 nt
Filed under: Lactobacillus sp.
Lineage: Bacteria; Bacillati; Bacillota; Bacilli; Lactobacillales; Lactobacillaceae
Description: bacterial SSU rRNA
Rfam family: Bacterial small subunit ribosomal RNA
Source: RNAcentral
AACUCUGGUAUUGAUUGGUGCUUGCAUCAUGAUUUACAUUUGAGUGAGUGGCGAACUGGUGAGUAACACGUGGGAAACCUGCCCAGAAGCGGGGGAUAACACCUGGAAACAGAUGCUAAUACCGCAUAACAACUUGGACCGCAUGGUCCGAGUUUGAAAGAUGGCUUCGGCUAUCACUUUUGGAUGGUCCCGCGGCGUAUUAGCUAGAUGGUGGGGUAACGGCUCACCAUGGCAAUGAUACGUAGCCGACCUGAGAGGGUAAUCGGCCACAUUGGGACUGAGACACGGCCCAAACUCCUACGGGAGGCAGCAGUAGGGAAUCUUCCACAAUGGACGAAAGUCUGAUGGAGCAACGCCGCGUGAGUGAAGAAGGGUUUCGGCUCGUAAAACUCUGUUGUUAAAGAAGAACAUAUCUGAGAGUAACUGUUCAGGUAUUGACGGUAUUUAACCAGAAAGCCACGGCUAACUACGUGCCAGCAGCCGCGGUAAUACGUAGGUGGCAAGCGUUGUCCGGAUUUAUUGGGCGUAAAGCGAGCGCAGGCGGUUUUUUAAGUCUGAUGUGAAAGCCUUCGGCUCAACCGAAGAAGUGCAUCGGAAACUGGGAAACUUGAGUGCAGAAGAGGACAGUGGAACUCCAUGUGUAGCGGUGAAAUGCGUAGAUAUAUGGAAGAACACCAGUGGCGAAGGCGGCUGUCUGGUCUGUAACUGACGCUGAGGCUCGAAAGUAUGGGUAGCAAACAGGAUUAGAUACCCUGGUAGUCCAUACCGUAAACGAUGAAUGCUAAGUGUUGGAGGGUUUCCGCCCUUCAGUGCUGCAGCUAACGCAUUAAGCAUUCCGCCUGGGGAGUACGGCCGCAAGGCUGAAACUCAAAGGAAUUGACGGGGGCCCGCACAAGCGGUGGAGCAUGUGGUUUAAUUCGAAGCUACGCGAAGAACCUUACCAGGUCUUGACAUACUAUGCAAAUCUAAGAGAUUAGACGUUCCCUUCGGGGACAUGGAUACAGGUGGUGCAUGGUUGUCGUCAGCUCGUGUCGUGAGAUGUUGGGUUAAGUCCCGCAACGAGCGCAACCCUUAUUAUCAGUUGCCAGCAUUAAGUUGGGCACUCUGGUGAGACUGCCGGUGACAAACCGGAGGAAGGUGGGGAUGACGUCAAAUCAUCAUGCCCCUUAUGACCUGGGCUACACACGUGCUACAAUGGAUGGUACAACGAGUUGCGAACUCGCGAGAGUAAGCUAAUCUCUUAAAGCCAUUCUCAGUUCGGAUUGUAGGCUGCAACUCGCCUACAUGAAGUCGGAAUCGCUAGUAAUCGCGGAUCAGCAUGCCGCGGUGAAUACGUUCCCGGGCCUUGUACACACCGCCCGUCACC